UUCCGGUUGAUCCCGCCGGACCCUACUGCUAUCGGGGUGGGACUAAGACAUGCGAGUCGAGCGUCUCUAGCUAUGUUGAGACGCGGCAGACGGCUCAGUAACACGUGGCUAACCUACCCUCAGGACAGGGACAAACCCGGGAAACUGGGGCUAAUACCCGAUAGGCGAGGAUGCCUGGAAUGGUUUCUCGCCCAAAGGACCUUGGAGACAUGCUUCCAUUGUCGCCUGAGGAUGGGGCCGCGUCCGAUCAGGUUGUUGGUGAGGUAACGGCUCACCAAUCCUAUAACCGGUACGGGCCGUGAGAGCGGUAGCCCGGAGAUGGGUACUGAGACAAGGACCCAGGCCCUACGGGGCGCAGCAGUCGCGAAAACUCCGCAAUGCACGAAAGUGUGACGGGGCUACCCCGAGUGCUCUCCGCUGAGGAAAGCUUUUCCCUGGUGUAACUAGCCGGGGGAAUAAGGAGAGGGCAAGACUGGUGUCAGCCGCCGCGGUAAUACCAGCUCUCCGAGUGGUAGGGAUGUUUAUUGGGCUUAAAGCGUCCGUAGCCGGCUUAGCAAGUUUCCUGUUAAAUUCAGCGACCUAAUCGUUGAGCCGCGGGAAAUACUACUAGGCUAGGAGGCGGGAGAGGUCAACGGUACUUCCGGGGUAGGGGUGAAAUCCUAUAAUCCCGGGAGGACCACCAGUGGCGAAGGCUGUUGACUAGAACGCGCUCGACGGUGAGGGACGAAAGCUGGGGGAGCGAACCGGAUUAGAUACCCGGGGUAGUCCCAGCUGUAAACGAUGCGAGCUAGUGUUGGGAUGGCUACGUGCC
Molecule: ribosomal RNA, 811 nt
Filed under: uncultured archaeon
Lineage: Archaea
Description: bacterial SSU rRNA
Rfam family: Archaeal small subunit ribosomal RNA
Source: RNAcentral